Molecule: ribosomal RNA, 716 nt
Filed under: Streptomyces hygroscopicus
Lineage: Bacteria; Bacillati; Actinomycetota; Actinomycetes; Kitasatosporales; Streptomycetaceae
Description: bacterial SSU rRNA
Rfam family: Bacterial small subunit ribosomal RNA
Source: RNAcentral
GGCGUGCUUAACACAUGCAAGUCGAACGAUGAACCUUCUUCGGGAGGGGAUUAGUGGCGAACGGGUGAGUAACACGUGGGCAAUCUGCCCUUCACUCUGGGACAAGCCCUGGAAACGGGGUCUAAUACCGGAUACGACCUCCGACCGCAUGGUCUGGUGGUGGAAAGCUCCGGCGGUGAAGGAUGAGCCCGCGGCCUAUCAGCUUGUUGGUGGGGUGAUGGCCUACCAAGGCGACGACGGGUAGCCGGCCUGAGAGGGCGACCGGCCACACUGGGACUGAGACACGGCCCAGACUCCUACGGGAGGCAGCAGUGGGGAAUAUUGCACAAUGGGCGAAAGCCUGAUGCAGCGACGCCGCGUGAGGGAUGACGGCCUUCGGGUUGUAAACCUCUUUCAGCAGGGAAGAAGCGAGAGUGACGGUACCUGCAGAAGAAGCGCCGGCUAACUACGUGCCAGCAGCCGCGGUAAUACGUAGGGCGCAAGCGUUGUCCGGAAUUAUUGGGCGUAAAGAGCUCGUAGGCGGCUUGUCACGUCGGAUGUGAAAGCCCGGGGCUUAACCCCGGGUCUGCAUUCGAUACGGGCAGGCUAGAGUUCGGUAGGGGAGAUCGGAAUUCCUGGUGUAGCGGUGAAAUGCGCAGAUAUCAGGAGGAACACCGGUGGCGAAGGCGGAUCUCUGGGCCGAUACUGACGCUGAGGAGCGAAAGCGUGGGGAGCGA